RNAcentral lists this ribosomal RNA (253 nucleotides) under uncultured bacterium. RNAcentral's name for it is "partial 16S ribosomal RNA". It matches the Rfam family "Bacterial small subunit ribosomal RNA", at positions 524 to 776 of the family's 1533-position model. The record is from RNAcentral.
UACGUAGGGUGCGAGCGUUGUCCGGAAUUAUUGGGCGUAAAGGGCUCGUAGGCGGUUUGUCGCGUCGGGAGUGAAAACCCAGGGCUUAACUCUGGGCUUGCUUUCGAUACGGGCAGACUAGAGGUAUGCAGGGGAGAACGGAAUUCCGGGUGUAGUGGUGAAAUGCGUAGAUAUCUGGAGGAACACCGGUGGCGAAGGCGGCAUCCUGGACCGGCAUUGACGCUGAGGCGCGAAAGCCAGGGGAGCAAACGGG